Molecule: long non-coding RNA, 1862 nt
Organism: Peromyscus leucopus (white-footed mouse)
Lineage: Eukaryota; Metazoa; Chordata; Mammalia; Rodentia; Cricetidae
Exons: 5
Source: RefSeq, a predicted model, not a curated record
AAGCCAACACGGAGCCGGCUCUCCUUUUGCCAGCCUUCGCUUCAGCCUCUGCCCGGGCUCUCCUUGCACCCUGUUAGCUUCCACCGGCAGGGUCCGGACUGGUGGAGUCGGAGUAAGAGAAGACCAGCGGGCACACUUCUGCCCCGCGCACCUUCCUCUGUGGAGGGGAACAGACGGCAGGAGGAAACUGAGCUAACUUCCCCCACAAAGCCAGAAAGUAGGACAUCCAAGCUCUGGCUGUCCGGAAACUGGAACUCCCCUGAAUGACUCUACUUUUAAAGACAACAAAUGCAGUCCCAGGAAAUGGCUGAAAAGUGAAGGUGCUUGCUGCCAUGCUUGGUGCCCCAGCUCAGUCCCUGGAUCCGCAAGCCGCCUGGUCAAGAGCAGCAAAGAGCAAACCAAGAUCUUCUGCUGGAGAGGGAGGGAAUCUUGUGUUGUUUCUUGGCUCAGAGUCACCCUGUUGCCAUCCACUUCCGAAAUGACUUGGGAUAUGUGAGCAAGGCCAACACGUUUGGGAACUGGUGCCUCAGAGGGAUACAGCUUAAUGUUGAGAAGACCACGGACCGACCUACCUUCUGAAUUACCAAGAACCUGACAGAAGCCACCAAGUAGGGCUAACUGCCUCAGGUUGCCUAGUGCAGACCCCUGGUGUGAUCCUCAGCACAAAACCCUGCAGCAAAGACCUGGCAGCUAAGGAAGGAGAAGCACUAGGUGGCAAAUUUAUCUAACAUUUUGAGUCAAAUAAAUGGGUAAGUAUAGACGGUGAAGUCAACCCCACUCGAAGCCCCCGCCCCCCAGAUGGCUUCCCUAGAUGAACCCUGAAGUUUGUUCACCCCUCUAAACUGAUCUGGAAGACAGCAGAAAAUGUCACUGGAUAGACAGCCUAGCAGAUAGCACCCACCCCAGAGCUGGAGUCUGAGAACUGGGGAAAUCCACACGGGACCGUGGUCCCACUGCUUAGAGAAGCACAUCUGUGCAAUAGAGGCAGGUUUUGCUUCUUAACACCCUGGGCCUGCACUUGCCCCACAACAACCCACAAGCAGGAAGCUGCAAAGGGCUAAUAAAGCAGGGCUCACAGAACAGCAGAGGUUCCCCGAUGAAAGGAACUAGGAAGUCUCUUUUCUCUACACAAGGACCAAGUCCCUCCUAAAACAAUCCCAACAGGACGUCUAUCCAUUUUGUUGUUCCACGGUUUGAGAGAGUCUUCCUAUGCAGCCUCUGUUGGCCUUGAACUUGUAGUGAUUCUCAAGACUUCAGGCUCCCGAGGACUGGAAUCAUAGCCACAGACCUUUGUGCUCUGAGAUGAACUCCUGAUCUGCUCAGUCCAUAAUAUGACUGUCUUUCCUUUACUUACCGGCCACUGCUUUCUCCUACGUAAGCACUUAAAGGGCACUCAUCGUAAGUACCCAGACAGAAGGUGACUCAACCUGAGAGCCUUGGAAGAAACCUUACUACCUGAGCCCCACCAUUUAGGAACACCCCGGGAACUCAUUUCAGGUAACACACAGACUGAUACUGGCAGGCAAGACAUGUGUGGAUUUAACUGUGUCUAUUUAUCUUCCCCUUUCUUCAGGAAACUUAACUCUCCAUCUAUAGAUGAAUACAGGAAGCAGGUUAAGCUACUCACCUUCAGACAGUGGUUUGAGGACCGUCUGGCUUUUGACGUCCGACUCCACAAUUUCAAUAGCUCGCCUAUAAAAAAAUUUUUUUUUCUAAAAUUUAGUCUCAGCCAAACCAAAUACCACACCAAGAGACCAUGCCCCAAAGCAGGCACAUUAACUAAACACACGUUUUUAAAAAAUUAAGGUCCCUUCCAAGUUUGGUGCCCAGCACCUACCCAGGCAGCUCCCAACCCCCUGUAA